RNAcentral lists this ribosomal RNA (1098 nucleotides) under Triticum aestivum (bread wheat). RNAcentral's name for it is "partial small subunit ribosomal RNA". Lineage: Eukaryota; Viridiplantae; Streptophyta; Magnoliopsida; Poales; Poaceae. The record is from RNAcentral.
AUGAUAUGGGAGAUCCUCGCCCGCCUGCCCCCCAAAGCCCUCCUCCGCUGCCGUGCCGUCUGCCGUGCAUGGCGCCGCGUCACCUCCGUCCGCAACUUCCUCCUCGCCCACCACGGCCGCCAGCCCGCCCUACCCCUCGCCUCGCAACGCAUGAACUGCGGCAACAGCUACUACCAAAACAUCGUCACCUUCAACAAUCGGGCCACCGACGCCCAGGUCCAACACGUUGCCCGGGUGCAGCUUGCUGACACGAUCCGUCUAGAUGCCUCCUGCGACGGCCUCCUCCUUUUCACUGACAACUCGAUUAGUCAGCUCGCACAAAAUGGCAGCACGUAUGGCACCUGCUUUUCCAUCUGCAACCCGGCCACUCGUGAGCAUGCUCGUCUGCCCAUGCUUUCUGCCUUCCUCCCAUUCGGAAUGUACCGGCACCGUCCUACAAGUGAGUACCGGAUACUGCUCACUCAGGAAAAGGAUGAUCCUGUAACCAACGCCUUCUUUAUCUUUGUAUUGGGCUCAGCCCAGCCGCCGAGGAACAUCGGUGGGUGGCCGAGGGAGAUGGUGAGUGUCUGGGGGGAUGAUGUCCUGCUCCGCGGUAGCCUGCAUUGGCACCUACAGAAACAUGAGAGCAAAAGCAGCCAUAUAAUGGUAUUCGACACCACAGCCGAGUCGUUCCGUGAGAUGCGUGCUCCGGUGGUUCUUGAUCCUAAGCGUGCUAAUCUGUUUGAGAUGUAUGACAAGCUCGGCAUGUCAAUCUUUAAUGGUGAACUGAAAAUCAUUGAUAUCUGGAUGAUGCUGGAUUACGAAAGCGAGGUUUGGGCCUUAAAAUAUCGGGUUGAAUUGCCGGUAGCAUCUCUCAAUGUGCAGUUUGGUCAGAUUGUUGAAAAUCCGGAAGUGGCAGUCCACUCUUGCGAUGGUGAUGUGCUCGUGCUGGUCAGAUUUGGCGAGUGGCUACUUCACUUUGAUACCGAUAGCAGGUUGGUGGCCAGUUUCCAUCACGAAGGUCUCCUUCUUGGUCAACAUCGGCUCCAGGAAACUCUUGUUCCACAUACCUUCUUUACGACGCUAGACAGUUAUUCUGUGAAUUGUCAGUGCUUCUAA